This 253-nucleotide ribosomal RNA is filed under the name uncultured bacterium. RNAcentral's name for it is "partial 16S ribosomal RNA". It matches the Rfam family "Bacterial small subunit ribosomal RNA", at positions 524 to 776 of the family's 1533-position model. The record is from RNAcentral.
GACAGAGGCCUCAAGCGUUAGGCGGAAUCACUGGGCUUAAAGCGUGUGUAGGCGGAUCGUUAAGUGCCUUGUGAAAUCCCACGGCUUAACUGUGGAACGGCUGGGCAUACUGGCGGUCUUGAGCCAUCUAGGGGCGACUGGAACAAACGGUGGAGCGGUGAAAUGCGUAGAUAUCGUUUGGAACGCCAAUGGUGAAAACAGGUAGCUGGGAGUGUGCUGACGCUGAGACACGAAAGCCAGGGGAGCAAACGGG